Non-coding RNA from Trichonephila clavipes, 76 nucleotides. The record is from the annotation of a GenBank genome assembly. Lineage: Eukaryota; Metazoa; Arthropoda; Arachnida; Araneae; Nephilidae.
GCCUUCGUCGCCCAACCGGUAUAGUGGGUAGCAACGCUGACGCCGUAGGUGCUGGGUUCGAAUCCCAGAGAGGGCA